AGAGUUUGAUCCUGGCUCAGAUUGAACGCUGGCGGCAGGCUUAACACAUGCAAGUCGAGCGGAAACGAUGAUAGCUUGCUAUCAGGCGUCGAGCGGCGGACGGGUGAGUAAUGCAUGGGAAUCUGCCCGAUAGAGGGGGAUAGCCCGGGGAAACCCGGAUUAACACCGCAUACACCCUACGGGGGAGCAGGGGAUCUUCGGACCUUGCGCUAUCGGAUGAGCCCAUGUCGGAUUAGCUAGUUGGUGAGGUAAGAGCUCACCAAGGCGACGAUCCGUAGCUGGUCUGAGAGGAUGAUCAGCCACACUGGGACUGAGACACGGCCCAGACUCCUACGGGAGGCAGCAGUGGGGAAUUUUGCACAAUGGGGGAAACCCUGAUCCAGCCAUGCCGCGUGUGUGAAGAAGGCCUUAGGGUUGUAAAGCACUUUCAGUAGGGAGGAAAAGUUAGUCGUUAAUAACGGCUAACCCUGACGUUACCUACAGAAGAAGCACCGGCAAACUCCGUGCCAGCAGCCGCGGUAAUACGGAGGGUGCGAGCGUUAAUCGGAAUUACUGGGCGUAAAGCGCGCGUAGGCGGCCUGAUAAGUUGGAUGUGAAAGCCCUGGGCUCAACCUAGGAACUGCAUUCAAAACUGUCAGGCUAGAGUAUGGUAGAGGAUAGUGGAAUUUCCGGAAAAACGGUGAAAUGCGUAGAUAUAGGAAGGAAUACCAGUGGCGAAGGCGGCCACCUGGACUGAUACUGACGCUGAGGUGCGAAAGCGUGGGGAGCGAACAGGAUUAGAUACCCUGGUAGUCCACGCCGUAAACGAUGUCAACUAGCCGUAGGGAUCCUUGAGGUCUUUGUGGCGCAGCUAACACAAUAAGUUGACCGCCUGGGGAGUACGGCCGCAAGGUUAAAACUCAAAUGAAUUGACGGGGGCCCGCACAAGCGGUGGAGCAUGUGGUUUAAUUCGAUGCAACGCGAAGAACCUUACCUACCCUUGACAUACAGAGAACUUUCCAGAGAUGGAUCGGUGCCUUCGGGAACUCUGAUACAGGUGCUGCAUGGCUGUCGUCAGCUCGUGUCGUGGAUGUUGGGUCAAAGUCCCGUAACGAGCGCAACCCUUAUCCUUAGUUGCUACCAUUUAGUUGGGCACUCUAAGGAGACUGCCGGUGAUAAACCGGAGGAAGGUGGGGACGACGUCAAGUCAUCAUGGCCCUUAUGGGUAGGGCUACACACGUGCUACAAUGGCCGGUACAGAGGGCUGCUAACUCGCGAGAGUACGCUAAUCCCUUAAAGCCGGUCCUAGUCCGGAUUGCAGUCUGCAACUCGACUGCAUGAAGCUGGAAUCGCUAGUAAUCGCGGAUCAGAAUGCCGCGGUGAAUUCGUUCCCGGGCCUUGUACACACCGCCCGU
RNAcentral lists this ribosomal RNA (1394 nucleotides) under uncultured prokaryote. RNAcentral describes it as "partial 16S ribosomal RNA". It matches the Rfam family "Bacterial small subunit ribosomal RNA". The record is from RNAcentral.